This 771-nucleotide ribosomal RNA is filed under the name uncultured bacterium. RNAcentral's name for it is "bacterial SSU rRNA". It matches the Rfam family "Bacterial small subunit ribosomal RNA", at positions 8 to 796 of the family's 1533-position model. The record is from RNAcentral.
AGAGUUUGAUCCUGGCUCAGGACGAACGCUGGCGGCGUGCUUAACACAUGCAAGUCGAACGGAAAGGCCCUUCGGGGUACUCGAGUGGCGAACGGGUGAGUAACACGUGGGUGAUCUGCCCUGCACUUUGGGAUAAGCCUGGGAAACUGGGUCUAAUACCGAAUAUGACCAUGCGCCUCCUGGUGUGUGGUGGAAAGCUUUUGCGGUGUGGGAUGGGCCCGCGGCCUAUCAGCUUGUUGGUGGGGUAAUGGCCUACCAAGGCGACGACGGGUAGCCGGCCUGAGAGGGUGACCGGCCACACUGGGACUGAGAUACGGCCCAGACUCCUACGGGAGGCAGCAGUGGGGAAUAUUGCACAAUGGGCGCAAGCCUGAUGCAGCGACGCCGCGUGAGGGAUGACGGCCUUCGGGUUGUAAACCUCUUUCAGCACAGACGAAGCGCAAGUGACGGUAUGUGCAGAAGAAGGACCGGCCAACUACGUGCCAGCAGCCGCGGUAAUACGUAGGGUCCGAGCGUUGUCCGGAAUUACUGGGCGUAAAGAGCUCGUAGGUGGUUUGUCGCGUUGUUCGUGAAAACUCACAGCUUAACUGUGGGCGUGCGGGCGAUACGGGCAGACUUGAGUACUGCAGGGGAGACUGGAAUUCCUGGUGUAGCGGUGGAAUGCGCAGAUAUCAGGAGGAACACCGGUGGCGAAGGCGGGUCUCUGGGCAGUAACUGACGCUGAGGAGUGAAAGCGUGGGGAGCGAACAGGAUUAGAUACCCUGGUAGUCC